This 465-nucleotide ribosomal RNA is filed under the name Vreelandella stevensii. RNAcentral describes it as "partial 16S ribosomal RNA". It matches the Rfam family "Bacterial small subunit ribosomal RNA", at positions 338 to 795 of the family's 1533-position model. The record is from RNAcentral. Lineage: Bacteria; Pseudomonadati; Pseudomonadota; Gammaproteobacteria; Oceanospirillales; Halomonadaceae.
CCUACGGGAGGCAGCAGUGGGGAAUAUUGGACAAUGGGGGGAACCCUGAUCCAGCCAUGCCGCGUGUGUGAAGAAGGCCCUCGGGUUGUAAAGCACUUUCAGUGAGGAAGAACGCCUGGUGGUUAAUACCCAUCAGGAAAGACAUCACUCACAGAAGAAGCACCGGCUAACUCCGUGCCAGCAGCCGCGGUAAUACGGAGGGUGCGAGCGUUAAUCGGAAUUACUGGGCGUAAAGCGCGCGUAGGUGGCUUGAUAAGCCGGUUGUGAAAGCCCCGGGCUCAACCUGGGAACGGCAUCCGGAACUGUCAAGCUAGAGUGCAGGAGAGGAAGGUAGAAUUCCCGGUGUAGCGGUGAAAAGCGUAGAGAUCGGGAGGAAUACCAGUGGCGAAGGCGGCCUUCUGGACUGACACUGACACUGAGGUGCGAAAGCGUGGGUAGCAAACAGGAUUAGAUACCCUGGUAGUC